Molecule: transfer RNA, 68 nt
Filed under: Marmota monax (woodchuck)
Lineage: Eukaryota; Metazoa; Chordata; Mammalia; Rodentia; Sciuridae
Description: tRNA.Ala
Source: RNAcentral
GGUUUAUGGCUCAGCGGCAGAGCGCUUGCCUAGCAGGUGGGAGGCCUUGGGUUCGAUCCUCAGCACCA